CCUGGCCCCACGUGCGGUGCCAUCCUGCUGAACUCCCCCAGGACCGGAAGGUAGCAAGGGUAAGCGGGCUCUGGCAGGUGCACGUGGGGCUCUUAAU
Molecule: non-coding RNA, 97 nt
Organism: Nesterenkonia sp. AN1
Lineage: Bacteria; Bacillati; Actinomycetota; Actinomycetes; Micrococcales; Micrococcaceae
Source: Rfam